GACGAACGCUGGCGGCGUGCUUAACACAUGCAAGUCGAGCGGAAAGGCCACUUCGGUGGUACUCGAGCGGCGAACGGGUGAGUAACACGUGAGUAAUCUGCCCCUGGCUUUGGGAUAGCCUCCGGAAACGGCGAUUAAUACCGGAUACGACCACUUCUCGCAUGGGAUGGUGGUGGAAAGUUUUUUCGGCCAGGGAUGUGCUCGCGGCCUAUCAGCUUGAUGGUGAGGUAAUGGCUCACCAUGGCUUCGACGGGUAGCCGGCCUGAGAGGGUGACCGGUCACAGUGGGACUGAGACACGGCCCAGACUCCUACGGGAGGCAGCAGUGGGGAAUAUUGGACAAUGGGCGGAAGCCUGAUCCAGCAACGCCGCGUGAGGGAUGACGGCCUUCGGGUUGUAAACCUCUUUCAGCAGGGACGAAGCGCAAGUGACGGUACCUGCAGAAGAAGCACCGGCCAACUACGUGCCAGCAGCCGCCGUAA
RNAcentral lists this ribosomal RNA (481 nucleotides) under uncultured bacterium. Its description in RNAcentral is "partial 16S ribosomal RNA". It matches the Rfam family "Bacterial small subunit ribosomal RNA", at positions 28 to 523 of the family's 1533-position model. The record is from RNAcentral.